AUUGAACGCUGGCGGCAGGCCUAACACAUGCAAGUCGAACGGUAACACGAAACAGCUUUCUGCUUCGCUGACGCGUGGCGGACGGGUGAGUGAUGUCUGUGAAACUGUAUGAUGGAGGGGGAUAACUACUGGAAACGGUAGCUCAUACCGCGUAUCGUCGCAAGACCAAAGAGCGGGACCUUCGGGCCCCUUGCCAUCUGAUGUGCCCAGAUGGGAUUAGCUUGUUGGUGGGGUAACGGCUCACCAAGGCGACGAUCCCUAGCUGGUCUGAGAGGAUGACCAGCCACACUGGAACUGAGACACGGUCCAGACUCCUACGGGAGGCAGCAGUGGGGAAUAUUGGACAAUGGGCGCAAGCCUGAUGCAGCCAUGCCGCGUGUGUGAAGAAGGCCUUCGGGUUGUAAAGUACUUUUGGCGGGAAGGAAGGGAGUAAAGUUAAUACCUCUGCGCAUUGACGUUACCCGCAGAAGAAGCACCGGCUAACUCCGUG
This 490-nucleotide ribosomal RNA is filed under the name uncultured bacterium. RNAcentral's name for it is "partial 16S ribosomal RNA". It matches the Rfam family "Bacterial small subunit ribosomal RNA", at positions 30 to 507 of the family's 1533-position model. The record is from RNAcentral.